UACGUAGGGGACGAGCGUUGUCCGGAAUCAUUGGGCGUAAAGAGCGUGUAGGCGGCCUUUCAAGUCCUGCGUGAAAUCUCGGGGCUCAACCCCGAGCGGUCGUGGGAAACUGGGAGGCUAGAGUGCGGGAGAGGAGAGUGGAAUUCCCAGUGUAGCGGUGAAAUGCGCAGAUAUUGGGAAGAACACCCGUGGCGAAGGCGGCUCUCUGGAACGCAACUGACGCUGAGACGCGAAAGCGUGGGGAGCAAACAGG
Molecule: ribosomal RNA, 253 nt
Filed under: uncultured bacterium
Lineage: Bacteria
Description: partial 16S ribosomal RNA
Rfam family: Bacterial small subunit ribosomal RNA
Source: RNAcentral